This 429-nucleotide ribosomal RNA is filed under the name uncultured Bdellovibrio sp. RNAcentral's name for it is "bacterial SSU rRNA". It matches the Rfam family "Bacterial small subunit ribosomal RNA", at positions 355 to 797 of the family's 1533-position model. Lineage: Bacteria; Pseudomonadati; Bdellovibrionota; Bdellovibrionia; Bdellovibrionales; Pseudobdellovibrionaceae. The record is from RNAcentral.
UAGGGAAUAUUGCACAAUGGAGGAAACUCUGAUGCAGCGACGCCGCGUGAGCGAUGAAGGCCUUCGGGUUGUAAAGCUCUGUCGUAUGGGAAUAAGAAAGUGAAUGUACCAUGCAAGAAAGGAUCGGCUAACUUCGUGCCAGCAGCCGCGGUAAGACGAGGGAUCCUAGCGUUGUUCGGAAUCAUUGGGCGUAAAGCGGAUGCAUGUGGCUUUGUAAGUCAGGUGUGAAAUCCCAGGGCUCAACCCUGGAAGUGCAUUUGAUACUGCGAAGCUUGAGUGCUGGAGAGGUAAGUAGAAUACCUGGUGUAGUGGUGAAAUACGUAGAUAUCAGGUGGAAUACCGGAGGCGAAGGCGGCUUACUGGCCAGACACUGACACUCAGAUCCGAAAGCGUGGGGAUCAAAACAGGAUUAGAUACCCACGUAGUCCC